GCCCGAGUGGCGGAAUUGGUAGACGCAAGGGACUUAAAAUCCCUCGGCCGCAAGGCCGUGCCGGUUCGAGUCCGGCCCCGGGCACCA
This 87-nucleotide transfer RNA is filed under the name Gammaproteobacteria bacterium. RNAcentral's name for it is "tRNA-Leu". It matches the Rfam family "tRNA". From Rfam's summary of the family: Transfer RNA (tRNA) molecules are approximately 80 nucleotides in length. Their secondary structure includes four short double-helical elements and three loops (D, anti-codon, and T loops). Further hydrogen bonds mediate the characteristic L-shaped molecular structure. tRNAs have two regions of fundamental functional importance: the anti-codon, which is responsible for specific mRNA codon recognition, and the 3' end, to which the tRNAs corresponding amino acid is attached (by aminoacyl-tRNA synthetases). tRNAs cope with the degeneracy of the genetic code in two manners: having more than one tRNA (with a specific anti-codon) for a particular amino acid; and 'wobble' base-pairing, i.e. permitting non-standard base-pairing at the 3rd anti-codon position. The record is from RNAcentral. RNAcentral also lists the same sequence under 1 other name. Lineage: Bacteria; Pseudomonadati; Pseudomonadota; Gammaproteobacteria.